GCCAGACUCCUACGGGAGGCAGCAGUGGGGAAUAUUGCACAAUGGGGGAAACCCUGAUGCAGCGACGCCGCGUGAGUGAAGAAGUAUUUCGGUGUGUAAAGCUCUCUCAGCAGGGAAGAAGAAGGACGGUACCUGAGUAAGAAGCCCCGGCUAACUACGUGCCAGCAGCCGCGGUAAUACGUAGGGGGCAAGCGUUAUCCGGAUUUACUGGGUGUAAAGGGAGCGUAGACGGCAGCGCAAGUCUGAAGUGAAAUGCCAGGGCUUAACCCUGGAACUGCUUUGGAAACUGUGCAGCUAGAGUGCAGGAGAGGUAAGUGGAAUUUCUAGUGUAGCGGUGAAAUGCGUAGAUAUUAGGAGGAACACCAGUGGCGAAGGCGGCUUACUGGACUGUAACUGACGUUGAGGCUCGAAAGCGUGGGGAGCAAACAGGAUUAGAUACCCGUGUA
This 446-nucleotide ribosomal RNA is filed under the name uncultured bacterium. Its description in RNAcentral is "bacterial SSU rRNA". It matches the Rfam family "Bacterial small subunit ribosomal RNA", at positions 330 to 792 of the family's 1533-position model. The record is from RNAcentral.